CGAAAUGGAAACGGGCAUCGGAAUCGGAAUCGGAAUCUGAAUCAGAAUCAGUGGUGCACUCCGAAUGUGAAAGCGAAUAGCAAAUGCGAAAUGAAUGCACAGGAAAUGAGCCCCGGUUAAUGCAUAUUCAUGGGAACAUACUUUGCCGAGAGCCGCGGGCUUUUGCCACUCGUGUUAGUUGUAUGAUUGCGGGCAUUUGGGCGCAACUAAACUGGCUCAUUAUUCGUGUGAAAAUGCCACAAUUGCGAUGGCCCAAAGGGAAGUUCUCCCCAAUUCUCCCAAAAAGUUGUACAAUGGACUGGUGCGAAAACCCGCAUUUGAACAGAUGCAAAACAAUUGCUGCUCUGGGAGUUUCAAAAAUACUAGCUACUCGGCUGUGGGCGAAAAACCAGCAAGGGCCACCUGCCAAAACAGAGGAGCGUAAACAAAAAGCUCGGCCAACGAAAGUGGUCCACACACAUGGCCAGCAGGGCACAGCCUUGCAUAUUUCCAGAAAUCAGAAGGAAUGUGUAGGAAAUGCCUGCCUUUGAGUUUGAGCCGGGACGGUAGAUGCACUGGACUGUCAAUCGCAGACACUCUGUCGUCAAUAUGCGGAAAUAUUACGUAUACGCCCCUGUGUCCCCCGCCCGCCUUCGCCAUCUUGUGCAAGAUGUGAUUGUGCGGUUCACUUAAAAUCGAAAUGCCUCAAUCAGCUCCUGCCAGUUGAGAGAAAAAGCUGUGAUUCUGCCAGGAUAUCUCGACGGCGAAACAAAAACUUUGCAUAAACAAACUAUGAAUACUCGUAUAUGUGCUGAAGUGCAUAUGUGCAUAUCUGAGCACGCAUUGUGCACUUGGCUGUCGGAGCCACUUCGCUUGGCUGGCCAACAAAGCGUUGGCAUGGAGCUGUUCCACUGGAUGUCUCUGUCUUCAGCAUCCUUUUUGCCGUCCUGUCUGCGGGUUGUGUGCACACUGAUCCGGGGAGCUGGUUGCAUAAAGGCAAGAAUUUCCGUAACAAAUACUUUCGUUCCGCAUUUUUCGAAUUUCCCCAUGACGACGCGGUGCAAUUAAACAUAUCACUCACCUUCGAUGGCGCUUGGCGCGGUGCUUCCAUGGGCACGAGGGGGCACCUGUGGCUUGUCGCCAAGGAGGUGCUCCUUUUCCGGCUCCAGGAUGCUGGCGGUCACCGUUUCGCUGGCUCGACGCAGCAUAUGCAAUGGAGUCAAGUUCGCAUCACGAUCGCGUUCGAAAUCUUGCUGGCAGGAGGACAUUUGAUACGAGUCCUCGAAGGGAUUGCUGCUGCGAAAGGCUUGCAAGGGUGGACCCUCACUGCCUGCCACUACAUCCAAUAUAUCU
This is a non-coding RNA of Drosophila melanogaster (fruit fly), 1332 nucleotides long. The record is from Ensembl. Lineage: Eukaryota; Metazoa; Arthropoda; Insecta; Diptera; Drosophilidae.